UAAGAAUUUAAAAGUCGAACAGACUUAUUGCUGAGAAUACUGCCUCUCAAAAUUUUCUUAAUUCAACAUCGAGGUCGCAAAAUAUAAUAUAGAUAUGAACUCCCCAUUAAAAUUACGCUGUUAUCCCUAAGGUAACUUAAUCUUAUUUUCCACACAUAAGGGAUCUAAAUUUACAUAAAUAAAUGAAUUUUAAAAUUAAAGUUUAUAUUUAAUCACCACCCCAGCAAAAUAUAAAAAAUCAUAAGAAAUAUAAUUAAUAAAACUUUAUAAUAAAAAUUUAUAUAAAGUUCUAUAGGGUCUUAUCGUCCCAAUAAAUCAUUAAAGCAUUUUAACUUUAAAUUUAAAUUUUAACAUUUUAAAAAAUAAAGUAUAAUUCUCAUACAUCCAUUCAUACAAGCUUCCAAUUAAAAAACUAAUUACUAUGCUACCUUUGCACAGUCAAAAUACUGCAGCCAUUUAGAAAAAUUAACCAUAGGGCAGAAGAUACUUUUUAUAGAACCCA
This 502-nucleotide ribosomal RNA is filed under the name Nesophrosyne sp. 54 GMB-2012. RNAcentral describes it as "partial 16S ribosomal RNA". Lineage: Eukaryota; Metazoa; Arthropoda; Insecta; Hemiptera; Cicadellidae. The record is from RNAcentral.